GACGAACGCUGGCGGCGUGCUUAACACAUGCAAGUCGAACGGUGAAGGGGCCUGCUUUUGUGGGUCCUGGAUGAGUGGCGAACGGGUGAGUAACACGUGAGUAACCUGCCCCCUUCUUCUGGAUAACCGCAUGAAAGUGUGGCUAAUACGGGAUAUUCUGGGUCUGUCGCAUGGUGGGCCUGGGAAAGAUUGCGCCUUUUUUGGUGUUUUUGGUGGGGGAUGGGCUCGCGGCCUAUCAGCUUGUUGGUGGGGUGAUGGCCUACCAAGGCGGUGACGGGUAGCCGGCCUGAGAGGGUGGACGGUCACACUGGGACUGAGACACGGCCCAGACUCCUACGGGAGGCAGCAGUGGGGAAUAUUGCACAAUGGGCGCAAGCCUGAUGCGGCGACGCCGCGUGAGGGAUGGAGGCCUUCGGGUUGUGAACCUCUUUCGCCAGUGAAGCAGGCCUGCCUCGUUUGUGGGUGGGUUGACGGAGCUGGAUAAAAGCGCCGGCUA
Molecule: ribosomal RNA, 496 nt
Filed under: Actinomyces naeslundii
Lineage: Bacteria; Bacillati; Actinomycetota; Actinomycetes; Actinomycetales; Actinomycetaceae
Description: bacterial SSU rRNA
Rfam family: Bacterial small subunit ribosomal RNA
Source: RNAcentral